GAAGGUCCCCCACACUGGAACUGAGACACGGUCCAGACUCCUACGGGAGGCAGCAGUGAGGAAUAUUGGUCAAUGGACGCAAGUCUGAACCAGCCAUGUCGCGUGCAGGAUGACUGCCCUAUGGGUUGUAAACUGCUUUUAUAUUGGAAGAAUUGCGCUUACGAUUUAAGCGUUUGACGGUACAUUAUGAAUAAGGAUCGGCUAACUCCGUGCCAGCAGCCGCGGUAAUACGGAGGAUCCGAGCGUUAUCCGGACUUAUUGGGUUUAAAGGGUGCGUAGGCGGAAAUGUAAGUCAGUGGUGAAAUCGUGCAGCUUAACUGUAGAAUAGCCGUUGAAACUGUGUUUCUUGAGUACAUUUGAGGUAGGCGGAAUGUGGUGUGUAGCGGUGAAAUGCAUAGAUAUACCACAGAACACCGAUUGCGAAGGCAGCUUACUAAACUGUCACUGACGCUGAUGCACGAAAGCGUGGGUAUCAAACGAGGAUUAGAUACCCUGGUAGUCCACGCUGUAAACGAAAAUUACUGGUUGUUUGCGAUACACUGCAAGUGCACUGAGAGAAAGCAUUAAGUAAUCCAGGUGGGGAGUACGUAGGCUAUGACGAAAGUCAUAGGAAGAGUCGGGGGACCGCACAAGCGGAGGAACAGGUGGUUUAAUUAGAUGAUACGGGAGGAACCUGACCGGGGUUAAAGUGGGGAGUGACAGGCUAGGAAACAGGGUGUUCUUUGGACAAUCUUCAUGUUGCUGCAUGGUGGUCGUCAGAUUGAGCCGUGAGGCGUGGGGGUAAGUCCCAUAACGAGGGCAACACCUAUCGAUAGUCACCAGCAGGGUGCGGGGGGGAUUAUAUGGCGACUCCGGGUGUAAACCGUGAGGAGGGGGGGGAUGACGUCAAAUGAGCACGGACCUGACAUCCAGGGCUACCCAGGAGCUACAAUGGCCGGGACAAAGGGCAGCUAUGCAGGGAUGUGAUGAUAAUAUCCAAAUCCGGUAUCAGUUCGGAUAGAAGUCUGCAAUCCGAUUUCGUGAAGCGGGAUUGGGUAGUAAUUGGGCAUCAGCCAUGGAGCGGGGAUUAGGUUCCUGGGCCUUGCACUCACCGCCCGUCAAG
Molecule: ribosomal RNA, 1102 nt
Filed under: uncultured bacterium
Lineage: Bacteria
Description: bacterial SSU rRNA
Rfam family: Bacterial small subunit ribosomal RNA
Source: RNAcentral